CAGCCGCCGCGGGAAUACGAAGGGGGCUAGCGUUGCUCGGAAUUACUGGGCGUAAAGGGAGCGUAGGCGGACAUUUAAGUCAGGGGUGAAAUCCCAGAGCUCAACUCUGGGACUGCCUUUGAUACUGGGUGUCUUGAGUGUGAUAGAGGUAUGUGGAACUCCGAGUGUAGAGGUGAAAUUCGUAGAUAUUCGGAAGAACACCAGUGGCGAAGGCGACAUACUGGAUCAUUACUGACGCUGAGGCUCGAAAGCGUGGGGAGCAAACAGGAUUAGAUACCCCAGUAGUCCCUGUCUCUUAUCC
RNAcentral lists this ribosomal RNA (301 nucleotides) under uncultured bacterium. RNAcentral describes it as "partial 16S ribosomal RNA". It matches the Rfam family "Bacterial small subunit ribosomal RNA", at positions 509 to 809 of the family's 1533-position model. The record is from RNAcentral.